GAUCCUAUCCCUGGGCAGGCUCACAGGGAUAUUGGUAUCCACAGUACUCCACCAAUUAAACAUUUCUUCCCUGACCCCUGCUGCUGUGUCUUUCUCUGGGGCUGAUGACACCACUCUGCUGUUCGAGGGACGCUUCGAGUGUGGCAACUUGCUGAAAGCAACAAGAGUUGGUGAAUUUGAUUACGAGCUCUCUCUGUGCACCAACCUGUACACGGAGAAGCACACUCAGUGGUUCUACUUCCAGGUGAGGAACACCCGUGUGUAGGCGCGUUACCGCUUCAACAUCGCCAAACUGCUGAAGGUGACCAGCAUGUAUGAGGAGGGGAAGCUGCCCCUGCUCUACUCUGAGGAGAAGACCCAGGUCCAGGGGGUGGGCUGGCAUCUUGUGGCUCAACAGGCCUCCUACCAAUGUAACGGGCACCAGCACACCAACCAGCCCUGCUACACCCUCUCCUGGAUCUUCUGCUUCCCUUACUACCAAGUAAAGAACAUGAGAGAACGUGCUCCAGCACUCGAGC
Salvelinus sp. IW2-2015 is the source of this 518-nucleotide non-coding RNA. The record is from RefSeq and is a predicted model, not a curated record. NCBI's taxonomy places the organism in Eukaryota, Metazoa, Chordata, Actinopteri, Salmoniformes, Salmonidae.